This 240-nucleotide unclassified non-coding RNA is filed under the name soil metagenome. RNAcentral describes it as "partial contains 5.8S ribosomal RNA, internal transcribed spacer 2, and large subunit ribosomal RNA". The record is from RNAcentral.
AACAAGGCGUACCUGCGGACCUGCGGAAGGAUCAUUAAAAAGAGUGUGUACCCCUCUGUAAAAUGAGUGGGUUACCUCCCGUCCUUUGUUGACCUCUUAGGAGGUUAUUUUGAACUUUCUGCUUCGGUGGGGUUAAACCUACCGGAACACCCUCAAAUUCUUAUCAUUUAAAAAUUGUUCAGUCUGAUUUUUGUUAAUAAAAACAAAAAACUUUUAGCAACGGAUCUCAGAUCGGAAGAG